AGUGAACGCUGGCGGUAGGCCUAACACAUGCAAGUCGAACGGCAGCACAGUAAGAGCUUGCUCUUACGGGUGGCGAGUGGCGGACGGGUGAGGAAUACAUCGGAAUCUACUUUUUCGUGGGGGAUAACGUAGGGAAACUUACGCUAAUACCGCAUACGACCUACGGGUGAAAGCAGGGGAUCUUCGGACCUUGCGCGAUUGAAUGAGCCGAUGUCGGAUUAGCUAGUUGGCGGGGUAAAGGCCCACCAAGGCGACGAUCCGUAGCUGGUCUGAGAGGAUGAUCAGCCACACUGGAACUGAGACACGGUCCAGACUCCUACGGGAGGCAGCAGUGGGGAAUAUUGGACAAUGGGCGCAAGCCUGAUCCAGCCAUACCGCGUGGGUGAAAAGGCCUUCGGGUUGUAAAGCCCUUUUGUUGGGAAAGAAAAGCAGCAGGUUAAUACCCCGCUGUUCUGACGGUACCCAAAGAAUAAGCACCGGCUAACUUCGUG
This 491-nucleotide ribosomal RNA is filed under the name uncultured bacterium. Its description in RNAcentral is "partial 16S ribosomal RNA". It matches the Rfam family "Bacterial small subunit ribosomal RNA", at positions 29 to 507 of the family's 1533-position model. The record is from RNAcentral.